Cebus imitator (Panamanian white-faced capuchin) is the source of this 109-nucleotide small nuclear RNA. NCBI's taxonomy places the organism in Eukaryota, Metazoa, Chordata, Mammalia, Primates, Cebidae. The record is from RefSeq and is a predicted model, not a curated record.
UUGCUUUGGCAGCACAUAUAUUAAAAUUGGAAUGAUAAAGAGAUUAGCAUGGCCCUGUACAAGAAUGACACACAAAUUUAUGAAGCUUUCGACUUAAAAUCAAUUUUUU